RNAcentral lists this ribosomal RNA (403 nucleotides) under uncultured bacterium. RNAcentral's name for it is "bacterial SSU rRNA". It matches the Rfam family "Bacterial small subunit ribosomal RNA", at positions 355 to 775 of the family's 1533-position model. The record is from RNAcentral.
UGGGGAAUCUUGCGCAAUGGGGGCAACCCUGACGCAGCCAUGCCGCGUGAAUGAUGAAGGCCUUAGGGUUGUAAAGUUCUUUUACCCGUGACGAUGAUGACGGUAACGGGGGAAUAAGCUCCGGCUAACUUCGUGCCAGCAGCCGCGGUAAUACGAAGGGGGCUAGCGUUGUUCGGAAUUACUGGGCGUAAAGCGCGCGCAGGCGGUUCGAUAAGUUGGGGGUGAAAUCCCCGGGCUCAACCAGGGAAUGGCCUUCAAGACUGUCGAUCUAGAGGACGAGAGAGGUGAGUGGAAUUCCCAGUGUAGAGGUGAAAUUCGUAGAUAUUGGGAAGAACACCGGUGGCGAAGGCGGCUCACUGGCUCGUUGCUGACGCUGAGGCGCGAAAGCGUGGGGAGCAAACAG